GAUGAACGCUGGCGGCGUGCCUAAUACAUGCAAGUCGAGCGAACAGACGAGGAGCUUGCUCCUCUGACGUUAGCGGCGGACGGGUGAGUAACACGUGGAUAACCUACCUAUAAGACUGGGAUAAAUUCGGGAAACCGGAGCUAAUACCGGAUAACAUGUUGAACCGCAUGGUUCAACAGUGAAAGACGGUUUUGCUGUCACUUAUAGAUGGAUCCGCGCCGCAUUAGCUAGUUGGUAAGGUAACGGCUUACCAAGGCAACGAUGCGUAGCCGACCUGAGAGGGUGAUCGGCCACACUGGAACUGAGACACGGUCCAGACUCCUACGGGAGGCAGCAGUAGGGAAUCUUCCGCAAUGGGCGAAAGCCUGACGGAGCAACGCCGCGUGAGUGAAGAAGGUCUUCGGAUCGUAAAACUCUGUUAUUAGGGAAGAACAAAUGUGUAAGUAACUAUGCACGUCUUGACGGUACCUAAUCAGAAAGCCACGGCUAACUACGUG
This 497-nucleotide ribosomal RNA is filed under the name uncultured bacterium. Its description in RNAcentral is "partial 16S ribosomal RNA". It matches the Rfam family "Bacterial small subunit ribosomal RNA", at positions 28 to 507 of the family's 1533-position model. The record is from RNAcentral.